UGGGGAAUAUUGGACAAUGGGCGGAAGCCUGAUCCAGCAACGCCGCGUGAGGGAUGACGGCCUUCGGGUUGUAAACCUCUUUCACCAUUGACGAAGUCGCAUUCUUUUGGGUGUGGUGACGGUAGGUGGGGAAGAAGCACCGGCCAACUACGUGCCAGCAGCCGCGGUAAUACGUAGGGUGCGAGCGUUGUCCGGAAUUAUUGGGCGUAAAGGGCUCGUAGGCGGUUUGUCGCGUCGGGAGUGAAAACCUCGGGCUUAACUCGGGGCUUGCUUUCGAUACGGGCAGACUAGAGGUAUGCAGGGGAGAACGGAAUUCCUGGUGUAGCGGUGAAAUGCGCAGAUAUCAGGAGGAACACCGGUGGCGAAGGCGGUUCUCUGGGCAUGAUCUGACGCUGAGGAGCGAAAGUGUGGGGAGCGAACA
This 421-nucleotide ribosomal RNA is filed under the name uncultured Nocardioides sp. Its description in RNAcentral is "bacterial SSU rRNA". It matches the Rfam family "Bacterial small subunit ribosomal RNA", at positions 355 to 774 of the family's 1533-position model. The record is from RNAcentral. Lineage: Bacteria; Bacillati; Actinomycetota; Actinomycetes; Propionibacteriales; Nocardioidaceae.